RNAcentral lists this microRNA precursor (105 nucleotides) under Eucalyptus grandis. Lineage: Eukaryota; Viridiplantae; Streptophyta; Magnoliopsida; Myrtales; Myrtaceae. The record is from RNAcentral.
AGCAUGGAGUUCAGCCAAGGAUGACUUGCCGGCAAACUGUGUGAGGCUUAAUUGAAGGAUUUGCAUUAGCUCCGGCAAGUUGUCUUUGGCUAAGUUUCGUCCUUU